GCCAGGAAACCCUCGGCUUCCGCAGUCUGCAUUACCCUGUUCCCCAGCCCCCAGAGCGAAACUGAGUCACUCAGCGCCAAGCAGAGACAGCAGCGGCAAGAAGAUGGUGCAACAGAACUUGACAGAACUUACUGAGGGCUUUGUGGAGUCUUCCUGCAAACCAGAGAGAGAGAGGAAUAAGUGACCAGAGCCUGACCCUUUAUCCUUGGAAGGCUCACCACUCCGCCACCCCUGCAAAGGAAAGGUCGGAGCUGCCUCCAUCAGCUCCUCAUCCAAUCCUGGUUUUGAAGAUGACCCAAAUGCCAAGAAGGAUGAGGAGUCCCAAGAUAGGCAAGACCACAGAGAGAGCCACCUCUGGAGAGGACAGACUUGUAGGAGCUGGGGCUGAAACAGAGACCACCAGUGACCACCCUCAAGGAGACAUCUGAUAGCACCUCCCCGUCUCUGAGGGCAGACGGCUCAGGCACAGCCAAGUGUCUCCAUCACCUAGGGAGAGCCCUGCCAAGACUGACCAGGCUCUUUGCUUCUCUUGGGAACUCAAACUGGGUGACAAGGAGAAAUGGGGUGUUGGCAUCUCAUGAAGGCCUCUCAACCACAAGCUCACCCUGUCCUCUAACUCCGUGGACAAAUAUUCCAGGUCUUCAAAGUCCUGAGUGCAGCAUCCCUCAGGAGUCCUGCCUGCCUUCUCCUCAAAUCCUUUCUAUUGUUCAACCCCAGGCUUGGCUGGAACAGCGUGUUCCAGGCCAGCCUCUCGGCUCCACCAUCAGCAGCGGCAAUCCGAGGUCUAUGGACCACAGCAGCAGGCCUAAAGCCCAGACAGGAAGGGGAAAAGAGUGCAGGGGGGGGGGGUAGGGGGGGAUUGCAUGGUUGUGAUCUCGGGAUCAAGACUGGAAAGGGGUACUAGAGCUGCACCAAGUGGUGGGGAAUCCCAGCUGGCUGUACGUCCUUGUUCAACCAGUGGGUGGCUCUAGGCAAGAGACCCAGCCUCUCCCAACCUGAGUUAACUCAUCUGUAAAAUGGAGAUGGUAAGAGUCCUAGUUCCCUGGGACUGUGGGGGAGGGGACGGACUUAAAUAAGUCACUUUAAACUUUUAUCAGCUAGAGAAAGGCAGUGGCAGAAGUAGGAGGGGCAUAAAGGGAGGAAUGAAGAAAAGGAUUGGCAGGUGUCCAGGAGGCUUUUCUCUACCAACUUAUUUUAUCACAUGACUCUGUAUUUCAAGGGGAUUUCAAAGCUUCACACUUUUUAACCCAGCAGUUCUUUUUUUUUUUUUUUUUUACUGUGUUCUGAAUGAGCUCCCAAAUAUGUGUGAAGAUGCCCACUGCAUCAUUAGUUAUAACAUGAGGGGAGAAAUUGCAAAGAAUCUGGAGUCCCAGAGACAGCCUCCGGUUAAUUUGUUUUGAUGCAUAUCCCCACAAUGAAAUUGGAUGCCCCCCAUAAUUAAUUUAUGAAAAAAUCCUUAAGGAUAUAGACAAAAAAAAUAGCUAAAGACUUGAGAUGUGAGAAAAGAAAUGAGGUACAAAUAUGCACACACACACAGGAGUGUGUGCACACUCCUCAGAGGGUAUGUCCAUGUAGGUAAGUCUUGAGAGCAAGACCCCCCAAAACGUUAGCAGUAGUUCUCUAUAAUUUGACAUUAUAUGCCAUUGUUUUGAUUUCUCUAAAAUGUUCCACUUUUUCAGGUUUUUUUAACAAUAUACAUUCUUAGAGCUAUAAUAUGAUAUAAUUCAUAGAACAAAAAAUGGAAAAA
Molecule: long non-coding RNA, 1747 nt
Organism: Peromyscus maniculatus bairdii (prairie deer mouse)
Lineage: Eukaryota; Metazoa; Chordata; Mammalia; Rodentia; Cricetidae
Source: RefSeq, a predicted model, not a curated record